Molecule: ribosomal RNA, 728 nt
Filed under: uncultured fungus
Lineage: Eukaryota; Fungi
Description: SSU rRNA
Rfam family: Eukaryotic small subunit ribosomal RNA
Source: RNAcentral
UGGUAGGAUAGAGGCCUACCAUGGUGGUAACGGGUAACGGGGUGUUAGGGCACGACACCGGAGAGGGAGCCUGAGAAACGGCUACCACAUCCAAGGAUGGCAGCAGGCGCGCAAAUUACCCAAUCCCGACACGGGGAGGUAGUGACAAUAAAUAACAAUACGGGGUUCUUUCGGAUCUCGUAAUUGGAAUGAGUACAAUUUAAAUCUCUUAACGAGGAACAAUUGGAGGGCAAGUCUGGUGCCAGCAGCCGCGGUAAUUCCAGCUCCAAUAGCGUAUAUUAAAGUUGUUGCAGUUAAAAAGCUCGUAGUUGAAUUUCGGGGUUAGUAGGUUGGUCAUGCCUCUGGUACGUACUGGUCUCACUGAUUCCUCCUUCCUGAUGAGCCGUAAUGCCAUUAAUUUGGUGUUGCGGGGAAUUUGGACUGUUACUUUGAAAAAAUUAGAGUGUUUAAAGCAAGCUAACGCUUGAAUACAUUAGCAUGGAAUAAUGAAAUAGGACGUUCGAUCCUAUUUUGUUGGUUUCUAGGAUUGACGUAAUGAUUAAUAGGGAUAGUUGGGGGCAUUAGUAUUCAAUUGUCAGAGGUGAAAUUCUUGGAUUUAUUGAAGACUAACUACUGCGAAAGCAUUUGCCAAGGAUGUUUUCAUUAAUCAAGAACGAAAGUUAGGGGAUCGAAGACGAACAGAUACCGUCGUAAUCUUAACCAUAAACUAUGCCGACUAGGGAUCGGAU